CUACGGGUCGCUGCAGUGGGGAAUAUUGCACAAUGGAGGAAACUCUGAUGCAGCAACGCCGCGUGGAGGAUGACACUUUUCGGAGCGUAAACUCCUUUUAUAUAGGAAGAUAAUGACGGUACUAUAUGAAUAAGCACCGGCUAACUCCGUGCCAGCAGCCGCGGUAAUACGGAGGGUGCAAGCGUUACUCGGAAUCACUGGGCGUAAAGAGCGUGUAGGCGGGUUAAUAAGUCAGAAGUGAAAUCCUAUGGCUCAACCAUAGAACUGCUUUUGAAACUGUUAACCUAGAAUAUGGUAGAGGUAGAUGGAAUUUCUGGUGUAGGGGUAAAAUCCGUAGAGAUCAGAAGGAAUACCGAUUGCGAAGGCGACCUACUGGAACAUUAUUGACGCUGAGACGCGAACGCGUGGGGAGCAAACAGGAUUAGAUACCCUAGUAGUC
RNAcentral lists this ribosomal RNA (439 nucleotides) under uncultured bacterium. RNAcentral describes it as "partial 16S ribosomal RNA". It matches the Rfam family "Bacterial small subunit ribosomal RNA", at positions 339 to 795 of the family's 1533-position model. The record is from RNAcentral.